RNAcentral lists this ribosomal RNA (519 nucleotides) under uncultured bacterium. Its description in RNAcentral is "bacterial SSU rRNA". It matches the Rfam family "Bacterial small subunit ribosomal RNA", at positions 8 to 523 of the family's 1533-position model. The record is from RNAcentral.
AGAGUUGAUCCUGGCUCAGAUUGAACGCUGGCGGCAUGCCUUACACAUGCAAGUCGAACGGCAGCACGGGAGCAAUCCUGGUGGCGAGUGGCGAACGGGUGAGUAAUAUAUCGGAACGUACCUUUCAGUGGGGGAUAACGUAGUGAAAGUUACGCUAAUACCGCAUAUUCUGUGAGCAGGAAAGCAGGGGACCUUCGGGCCUUGCGCUGAUUGAGCGGCCGAUAUCAGAUUAGCUAGUUGGUGAGGUAAAGGCUCACCAAGGCGACGAUCUGUAGCGGGUCUGAGAGGAUGAUCCGCCACACUGGAACUGAGACACGGUCCAGACUCCUACGGGAGGCAGCAGUGGGGAAUUUUGGACAAUGGGGGCAACCCUGAUCCAGCCAUGCCGCGUGAGUGAAGAAGGCCUUCGGGUUGUAAAGCUCUUUCGGCCGGGAAGAAAUCGCAUCAGCUAAUACCUGGUGUGGAUGACGGUACCGGAAUAAGAAGCACCGGCUAACUACGUGCCAGCAGCCGCGGUAA